This 458-nucleotide ribosomal RNA is filed under the name uncultured bacterium. Its description in RNAcentral is "partial 16S ribosomal RNA". It matches the Rfam family "Bacterial small subunit ribosomal RNA", at positions 338 to 795 of the family's 1533-position model. The record is from RNAcentral.
CCUACGGGAGGCUGCAGUGAGGAAUAUUGGUCAAUGGGCGGGAGCCUGAACCAGCCAAGCCGCGUGAGGGAAGAAGGUACAGCGUAUCGUAAACCUCUUUUGUCAGGGAACAAAGGCGGGGACUAGUCCCCGGAUGAGGGUACCUGAAGAACAAGCAUCGGCUAACUCCGUGCCAGCCGCCGCGGUAAGAAGGAGGAUGCGAGCGUUAUCCGGAUUUAUUGGGUUAAAGGGGUGGGAGGGGGGCCUGUUAAGUCGGCGGUAAAAGCCCGGGCUCAACCCCGGCGAGCCGUUGAAACUGGCGUGCUGGAGUUGGAGAGAAGUAGGCGGAAUGCGCGGUGUAGCGGUGAAAUGCUUAGAUAUCGCGCAGAACCCCGAUUGCGAAGGCAGCGUACCGGCUCCACACUGACGCUGAGGCACGAAAGCGUGGGUAUCGAACAGGAUUAGAUACCCCAGUAGUC